GAGGAAAUAUUGGUCAAUGGACGCAGGGCUGAACCAGCCAAGUCGCGUGAGGGAUGACGGUCCUAUGGAUUGUAAACCUCUUUUGUCAGGGAGCAAAGGGCGUCACGUGUGGCGUUUUGCGAGUACCUGAAGAAAAAGCAUCGGCUAACUCC
RNAcentral lists this ribosomal RNA (152 nucleotides) under uncultured bacterium. Its description in RNAcentral is "partial 16S ribosomal RNA". It matches the Rfam family "Bacterial small subunit ribosomal RNA", at positions 355 to 504 of the family's 1533-position model. The record is from RNAcentral.